UCAAACGAGCAAAAGAUACGCUAUCUAGGGCACAAAAAUGGACGAUCUUUUCGAAAACAUCUAAACCCAUAUAUCCCUCCAAUUCUCUCUUUUCACUAGUUCUCUUCCAUGGAUAAUCUUGGGGAAGCUGUCUGCAGUUCGGCGGGCGGUGAGAUACAUACCGAGGUAAUAGAUGCCAACGAGAAUAAACAACAUCAUGUUGAAGAUGAUAUAAACAAAAUCAAGACAGGAGAAGAACAUCACGUUUCACCUGUCAACCAAGAAAACGUUUUUGCUGUUCAAGCUGACGAUAAUAAUGGAAACGGCGAAGUUAAAUCAGCUGGUGACGAGUGCGGCGAGAAAGGCGAUGAAAACAGUGAAUCUGGUGAGAAGGUAGUAGAUUUGGAGAAGAAACAACCCAUGAAAAGGGGGAGGAAGAAGUUGGAAGUUGAAAAUCGAGGCGUUGAUGUGGAAAAUCAUGAACUGAAGGAAUGGGUAGGGAGGAGGAAAGUGGGUCGAGUGAGGAAGAAGAGAGAAGAUAUCGAUUAUGUGAUGGGAGAACAAGAAGACCUAGAUGAGCUUAAAGGAAAUGGGAAGGGUGCAAUUGUUAACUUUGAAAUAAAUAAGAGAGGUCGGAAGCGGCGACUUAAUAGGGUUGAGGAGAAUUUUCCCGAAUCGACAAGUGCAUUAAAUAUGGAAGCUGAACAGCUCAAUGCUUCUACACCAAAACCCAGGCGCGGGAUAAAGAAAGACGAGAACGGGAAUGGUAUUUUGUCGAACAUGUGUCACCAAUGCCAGAGGAAUGAUAAAGGGAGGGUAGUUCGAUGCACUCGUUGUAAGAGGAAGCGAUACUGUGUUUUCUGCAUUAAAAAUUGGUAUCCAAAGAUGUCUGAAGAGGAUAUUGCUGCUGCUUGUCCAUUUUGCUGCUUCAACUGCAAUUGCAAGGCCUGCUUGCGUUUGGAUGUACCCAUUGAACUCCAAAAUUUGAAGGCAGAAGUUUCUGAAGAAGACAAGGUCCAUUUCUCAAAAUACAUUUUGCUAGAACUUAUUCCAUUUCUGAAAAAGUUUAACGAGGACCAAACCGUGGAAAAACAAGUUGAGGCUAAAAUUCGAGGCCUGUCAUUGUUGGAAACAAAAGUGCAACAGGUAAAAUCCCCCGAUGAUGAUUCUGAACGUGUUUAUUGCAAUAACUGCAAAACUUCUAUUGUUGACUUCCAUAGAAGCUGUCCAAAUUGUUUAUAUGACCUUUGUCUAGCCUGUUGCCGGGAGCUGCGUAAUGGCCACCUGAAGGGAGGCCAGAAUAUGGUUUUUAAACAAUAUGUUGACAAUGGAUUAGAUUACUUGCAUGGAAAGGGAAUCAAACCUAAAAGUGGCGCUAGUGGAUCUACAAGAAACAGAAAAUCAAAGGAACCAGUUGAAACUAGUACUAUGGAGCACAUUACCCCUAAAUGUGAAUGGAAAGCGAAUGAAGAUGGUAGCAUCCCUUGUCCCUCAGUCAGUGAUGGUGGAUGUGGCCAUGGUAAUCUAGAAUUAAGGUGCACAUUUCUUGAAGAUUUUAUUUCUCAGUUGCUAGUAAAGACGGAAGAGAUUGUGAAAACAUGUGAUUUUAAGGACAUGACUGAAGGAGGAGAUCUAUGUUCCAAUUGCAACGAGGAGAGGAAUUCUGACGACCGCAUUAAAAAAAAUCUAAGAAAAACAGCUUCCAGGGAAGAUUCUGCUGACAACUAUUUGUACUGUCCAAGAGCUAAAGAUAUUCAGCACGAGGACUUGAAACAUUUCCAGUGGCAUUGGUAUAAAGGAGAACCCAUUAUUGUUACUGAUGUCCUUGAAACUACAAAAGGUUUGAGCUGGGAACCAAUGGUAAUGUGGCGUGCAUGCCGCCAAAUGAAGCAUGUUAAUCAUUCAAAGCUCUUAGAUGUAGCUGCUCUCAAUUGCUUGGAUUGGUGUGAGGUGGAGGUUAAUAUUCAUAAUUUCUUUAAAGGAUAUUUGGAGGGGAGAUUUGACAGUAGUGGAUGGCCUCAAAUUCUCAAGUUGAAAGAUUGGCCUCCAUCCAGCUUAUUUGAAGAGCGAUUGCCUCGUCAUGGGGUUGAGUUUAUUAGUAGUUUGCCGUUCAAAGAGUAUACACACCCUCGCGAAGGCUUCCUAAAUCUUGCUGUAAAGUUACCUGAGAAAACAUUGAAGCCUGAUUUGGGCCCCAAAACAUAUAUUGCUUAUGGAGUCACCGAGGAGCUGGGACGUGGAGAUUCUGUCACAAAGCUUCAUUGUGAUAUGUCUGAUGCAGUGAAUAUUUUGACACACACUCAAGGAAUUACCCUUACACCAGAACAUCUUGACUGUAUAAAGAAGUUAAAACGAGAACAUUUUCUUCAAGAUCAAACUGAAAUCUUUGGGAGGAGCCAAAAGGCGGAAAAUGUCACAUUUCUCAAGGACAAUGAUGAAGUAACAAAGCUUUCCCACACUCACACCAGUGAAAAUGCACGAGAUACUUUUACUGGAUUGGAGGGAAAUCCUUCCAGUGUAUCUAAUGGAAUAAAUCGGUUAGACAUUGAUAAAUGUAAAGAAGAUACAAACACCUCUACUGGUAUGUUCGAAGACAAGGACACGAUUGAAGGUGGAUAUGACUCUACAACCAAGAAAACAGAUAAUGCAGAUGUGGUCUAUCAACCAUACCAGGAAGUGAUAAGCACCAUAGGUGAGGGAGGAGAAGGACAGACAAUGGAAGAUUCACCAAAAAAUGUAGCCGAAGCUUCUAAAGCAAGCAUAGUGCUAAAACUGGAGCAAGAUGAAGCUCAUGAAAAUGGCUGUGAAAUUCAAGGAUCAGACUCGAAAGAGCUUGAUAAAGUUGAUGGUGGGGCUCUCUGGGAUAUCUUUCGACGAGAAGAUGUCCCGAAGCUGCAGGAAUAUCUGUUGAAGCAUUUCAAGGAAUUCAGGCAUAUUUAUGGGGCUCCAGUGCAUCAGAUGAUCCACCCCAUUCAUGACCAAACCUGUUAUUUGACUUUGGAACACAAAAGAAAGCUUAAAGAGGAAUUUGGAAUUGAGCCGUGGACUUUUGUCCAACAACUUGGCGAAGCUGUUUUCAUACCUGCUGGGUGUCCACAUCAAGUUAGAAACCUUAAGUCGUGCAUAAAGGUCGCAAUGGAUUUUGUCUCCCCUGAAAAUGUUCAUGAAUGUGUUCGUUUGACGGAGGAGUUUCGUCUACUUCCUCAGAAUCAUAGGGCUCAGGAGGACAAGUUGGAGGUGGAAUGGCGCAUCAAUGGCUAGAGCGACAUGAUCUCGACACUGACGCAUCAUUGGAGAAAAAUUCUUGUUGCUUUUUUGCCGUGAAAAACUAAGUGGCACAAUGUAUCCACAUCGUCUCCUCAUUGUAAAGUGCUCCAUUCUCCAAAGAACAACUAGCCAUGCUUCAGCAAGUCUGUAAUGCACACUAAAAGUAAUCAAUUUUGGAGCUUAUGAGCACGAUUGGUGAAAAAAAGGAAUUGAGCAUCAUGAGGACAAUUGACAAUGCUGAAUUUUAAGCAAUCUAUAUCUUGGAUUUAGCCAAUCUUGCCAUUAGGAUGUGACACUAAAGGUGAAAAAAAUGGCUCUUCAUGCGAUGAUUCAUGCUGUGGAGGAAUUGGACCCGUCUUCCCUUAAGAAGGUUUCAUAUAGUAGUGCAAAGGAAGUCAAGAAAAGGGGUGGUAGGAGGAAGAAGAAGUUGUAGGGACU
This is an RNA transcript of Impatiens glandulifera, 3684 nucleotides long. It is a transcript of the gene named lysine-specific demethylase JMJ25-like, with no coding region annotated. The transcript is spliced from 16 exons. Lineage: Eukaryota; Viridiplantae; Streptophyta; Magnoliopsida; Ericales; Balsaminaceae. The record is from RefSeq and is a predicted model, not a curated record.